Molecule: ribosomal RNA, 701 nt
Filed under: Kiefferulus longilobus
Lineage: Eukaryota; Metazoa; Arthropoda; Insecta; Diptera; Chironomidae
Description: partial large subunit ribosomal RNA
Rfam family: Eukaryotic large subunit ribosomal RNA
Source: RNAcentral
UGUCUAGGGGCUCAAACCUAAGACCCAAAUAUCUAAACGGAGAAAUUCAAUACUACACGUUAAACACGUAGUGUGCACUUUUCUCUUAGUAAGACACCGUGAUCCAUUAGAAAUUGAUACAUACAAAAUGUAUAUUGGGUCAUCAAUAGGACAAUAUGAAGUUUAUAGGAACAAAUGAUGUAGCCUUUUACGGUUAUAUGUAUUGUCUUGUAAGCAUAUUGUUAUUAACCUGUAAUGACUGUCUGAUGGAUUUUAAAGAUCACAUUAUUAUGAUGUUAAGGCAUCACUCAUUUUAUUAUGAGAGAAUUUAUAUAUGUGUGUGUCUGAUCAACGGUGGUUAAAUUUGGGAUACCUUUUGGACCCGUCUUGAAACACGGACCAAGGAGUCUAUCUAGUAUGCGAGUAAAUGGAUAGUUAAUGAAAUCUAUUUGCAUAAUAAACUUGACUUUUAUAUAAUGGGAAUACGAUUAUUGUUAUUUAAUAUAAUAAUAAUCUUCCAUCCCGGGGUAUUUUUAUCAACAUAUACAUUUAUUUGUAUAUGAAAAAUAUACCAUGAGCACACUGGAUACGACCCGAAAGAUGGUGAACUAUGCCUGAUCAGGUCGAAGUCAGGGGAAACCCUGAUGGAGGACCGAAGCAGUUCUGACGUGCAAAUCGAUUGUCAGAAUUGGGCAUAGGGGCGAAAGACCAAUCGAACCAUC